GCAAGGCCUUGCUCUCCCACAGUUAAGGCCCAGGGGAGGAGAGUAGAGAAGGGACACUCCCAUAGGGUCCCUCUACUGGAAAUGUCAUUCCCAGAACAGCCCUAUCUUGCUGGGCCUGGACAGCUUUGCUAUGCUGUUAGCUGAUGUAGUUGAGAGUGUCACCCAGACCUGAAUCGCCUGUCCGGAGUCUCACAUUGGCAGCAGCUGAGCCAAUACCCCAAAGUUUCUGGGUACUCUGGAGGACAAGGUGUUCAUUACAUGGAAAUUCACUGGAUGUUAACAAUGUUUAAAAGAUAAGGUUUUUCUACACAGCUCUGACUGCCCUGGAAUUUACGAUGUGGAUAAGGCUGGCCAGGAACUCAAAGAGAUCUGUCUGCCUCAGACUCCCAGUGCUGGUAUUAAAGGUGUGUGCCACCAUACCCAUGAUGUCGGAUGACUUCUUUAAGAUAUGGCUUCCUGGUUCGUGCUUGGCAGCAUGAACUCUGGAUCUUUUGGGAGGUCCUGCACUUAGAUGGAGUUUGUGAGCAGCAUGUUACAAGUGCUUAAUGGUGACAUAGAGCUGCUGUGUCUCUGGAGCUGGGACAGUGAACAUGGCUCGAAGAUCUGGCAAUAAAUGUACCUCUGCCAGGUGGAGAGGUGAAGCCAGCAUCCAGGGCUGCCACAACCACACUGCUUACCAUUUUAAAACGCUCCUUGUCAGAAAAGGAUUUCAGAUACAAAAUAGGACAGAUUCAGACAUAAAGACCUCUAAAUGAGACACAAUGUAUUAAAAAAUGUACGUAAGCUUGAGAGAGAGAGAAAAAAAGAGU
Myodes glareolus (Bank vole) is the source of this 809-nucleotide non-coding RNA. NCBI's taxonomy places the organism in Eukaryota, Metazoa, Chordata, Mammalia, Rodentia, Cricetidae. The record is from RefSeq and is a predicted model, not a curated record.